RNAcentral lists this ribosomal RNA (365 nucleotides) under Salmonella enterica. RNAcentral's name for it is "partial 23S ribosomal RNA". It matches the Rfam family "Bacterial large subunit ribosomal RNA", at positions 1 to 393 of the family's 2925-position model. Lineage: Bacteria; Pseudomonadati; Pseudomonadota; Gammaproteobacteria; Enterobacterales; Enterobacteriaceae. RNAcentral also lists the same sequence under 1 other name. The record is from RNAcentral.
GGGUUGUGAGGUUAAGCGACUAAGCGUACACGGUGGAUGCCCUGGCAGUCAGAGGCGAUGAAGGGCGUGCUAAUCUGCGAUAAGCGCCGGUAAGGUGAUAUGAACCGUUAUAACCGGCGAUACCCGAAUGGGGAAACCCAGUGUGAUUCGUCACACUAUCAUUACGUGAAUACAUAGCGUAAUGAAGCGAACCGGGGGAACUGAAACAUCUAAGUACCCCGAGGAAAAGAAAUCAACCGAGAUUCCCCCAGUAGCGGCGAGCGAACGGGGAGGAGCCCAGAGCCUGAAUCAGCAUGUGUGUUAGUGGAAGCGUCUGGAAAGGCGCGCGAUACAGGGUGACAGCCCCGUACACAAAAGCGCAUGUG